AGUUUGAUCAGUGGCUCAGGACGAACGCUGGCGGGCGUGCUUAACACAUGCAAGUCGAACGGUAAGGCCCUUCGGGGUACACGAGUGGCGAACGGGUGAGUAACACGUGGGUGAUCUGCCCUGCACUUCGGGAUAAGCCUGGGAAACUGGGUCUAAUACCGGAUAGGACUCCUGGCUUCAUGGUUGGGGGUGUAAAGCUUUUGCGGUGUGGGAUGGGCCCGCGGCCUAUCAGCUUGUUGGUGGGGUAAUGGCCUACCAAGGCGACGACGGGUAGCCGGCCUGAGAGGGUGACCGGCCACACUGGGACUGAGAUACGGCCCAGACUCCUACGGGAGGCAGCAGUGGGGAAUAUUGCACAAUGGGCGCAAGCCUGAUGCAGCGACGCCGCGUGAGGGAUGACGGCCUUCGGGUUGUAAACCUCUUUCAAUAGGGACGAAGCGCAAGUGACGGUACCUAUAGAAGAAGGACCGGCCAACUACGUG
Molecule: ribosomal RNA, 482 nt
Filed under: uncultured bacterium
Lineage: Bacteria
Description: bacterial SSU rRNA
Rfam family: Bacterial small subunit ribosomal RNA
Source: RNAcentral